Molecule: ribosomal RNA, 1111 nt
Filed under: uncultured bacterium
Lineage: Bacteria
Description: bacterial SSU rRNA
Rfam family: Bacterial small subunit ribosomal RNA
Source: RNAcentral
AGAGUUUGAUCCUGGCUCAGGAUGAACGCUAGCGGCAGGCUUAAUACAUGCAAGUCGAGGGGCAUCAAGGUACACGAAAGUGUAUUGUUGGCGACCGGCGGACGGGUGAGUAAUAGGUAGGUAACCUACCUCAUACUGAGGCAUAGCUGGGAGAAAUUCCAGGUAAUUCCUCAUGAGGUUAUAUGACACAUGUGAUAUAAUCAAAGGUACCGCAAGGUACUGGUAUGAGAUGGGCUUACUGACCAUUAGCUAGUUGGUGAGAUAAGAGCUCACCAAGGCGAAGAUGGUUAGGGGUUUUGAGAGAGAGAUCCCCCACAUUGGAACUGAGAUACGGUCCAGACUCCUACGGGAGGCAGCAGUAGGGAAUAUUGGGCAAUGGGCGGAAGCCUGACCCAGCCAUGCCGCGUGAAGGAAGACGGCCUUAUGGGUUGUAAACUUCUUUACUAUGCGACUAACUAGAUUUACGAGAUAAUUCUAUAGAAUGUAGCAUAGCAAAAAGCACCGGCUAACUCCGUGCCAGCAGCCGCGGUAAUACGGGGGGUGCGAGCGUUAUUCGGAAUUGCUGGGUUUAAAGGGUGCGUAGGCGGCUAAGUAAGUUGUCAUUGAAAGGCUACAGCUCAACUGUAGUAGUGGUGGCGAUACUGUAUAACUAAGAACAUGGGAGGGGUACUUGGAAUGUGUGGUGUAGCGGUGAAAUGCGUAGAUAUCACACAGAACACCAGAGGCGAAGGCGGAGUACUAGACCAUAGUUGACGCUGAGGCACGAAAGCGUGGGGAUCAAACAGGAUUAGAUACCCUGGUAGUCCACGCCCUAAACGAUGAUCACUAGAUAUUGGCGACAAACAGUCAGUGUCCAAGCGAAAGUGAUAAGUGAUCCACCUGGGGACUACGGCCGCAAGGUUAAAACUCAAAGGAAUUGACGGGGGCCCGCACAAGCGGAGGAGCAUGUGGUUUAAUUCGAUGGUACGCGAGGAACCUUACCUGGGUUAGAACGUAUGAGCGAUGCAGCUGAAAGGUUGCAGGCCUGCGAAGGAGUUCAUACGAGGUGCUGCAUGGUUGUCGUCAGCUCGUGCCGUGAGGUGUUUGGUUAAGUCCAGCAACGAGCGCAACC